Molecule: ribosomal RNA, 478 nt
Filed under: uncultured bacterium
Lineage: Bacteria
Description: partial 16S ribosomal RNA
Rfam family: Bacterial small subunit ribosomal RNA
Source: RNAcentral
GAUGAACGCUAGCGGCAGGCCUAACACAUGCAAGUCGAGGGAGAAGCCCUUUCGGGGGCCGAAACCGGCGCACGGGUGCGUAACGCGUAUGCAACCUACCUUUCACAGGGGGAUAGCCCGAAGAAAUUUGGAUUAAUACCCCAUAAUAUUAUUGGAUGGCAUCAUUUGAUAAUUAAAACUGCGGUGGUGAAAGAUGGGCAUGCGUCCUAUUAGCUAGUUGGAGUGGUAACGGCACCCCAAGGCUACGAUAGGUAGGGGUCCUGAGAGGGAGAUCCCCCACACUGGUACUGAGACAGGGACCAGACUCCUACGGGAGGCAGCAGUGAGGAAUAUUGGUCAAUGGUCGGAAGACUGAACCAGCCAUGCCGCGUGCAGGAAGAAUGCCUUAUGGGUUGUAAACUGCUUUUAUAUGGGAAGAAUAAGGCGUACGUGUACGUUGAUGACGGUACCAUAUGAAUAAGCAUCGGCUAACUCCGUG